CAGCAGCCGCGGGAAUACAGAGGGUGCAAGCGUUAAUCGGAAUUACUGGGCGUAAAGCGCGCGUAGGUGGUUCGCCAAGUUGGAUGUGAAAUCCCCGGGCUCAACCUGGGAACUGCAUCCAAAACUGGCGAGCUAGAGUAUGGUAGAGGGUGGUGGAAUUUCCUGUGUAGCGGUGAAAUGCGUAGAUAUAGGAAGGAACAUCAGUGGCGAAGGCGACCACCUGGACUGAUACUGACACUGAGGUGCGAAAGCGUGGGGAGCAAACAGGAUUAGAUACCCCUGUAGUCCCUGUCUCUUAUAC
This 301-nucleotide ribosomal RNA is filed under the name uncultured bacterium. RNAcentral's name for it is "partial 16S ribosomal RNA". It matches the Rfam family "Bacterial small subunit ribosomal RNA", at positions 509 to 807 of the family's 1533-position model. The record is from RNAcentral.